AUUGAACGCUGGCGGCAGGCUUAACACAUGCAAGUCGAGCGGGGAAGAGUAGCUUGCUACUUGACCUAGCGGCGGACGGGUGAGUAAUGCUUAGGAAUCUGCCUAUUAGUGGGGGACAACAUCUCGAAAGGGAUGCUAAUACCGCAUACGUCCUACGGGAGAAAGCAGGGGACCUUCGGGCCUUGCGCUAAUAGAUGAGCCUAAGUCGGAUUAGCUAGUUGGUGGGGUAAAGGCCUACCAAGGCGACGAUCUGUAGCGGGUCUGAGAGGAUGAUCCGCCACACUGGGACUGAGACACGGCCCAGACUCCUACGGGAGGCAGCAGGGGGGAAUAUUGGACAAUGGGGGGAACCCUGAUCCAGCCAUGCCGCGUGUGUGAAGAAGGCCUUUUGGUUGUAAAGCACUUUAAGCGAGGAGGAGGCUACCGAGAUUAAUACUCUUGGAUAGUGGACGUUACUCGCAGAAUAAGCACCGGCUAACUCUGUG
Molecule: ribosomal RNA, 485 nt
Filed under: uncultured bacterium
Lineage: Bacteria
Description: partial 16S ribosomal RNA
Rfam family: Bacterial small subunit ribosomal RNA
Source: RNAcentral